CCUACGGGGUGCUGCAGUGGGGAAUAUUGGGCAAUGGGCGCAAGCCUGACCCAGCAACGCCGCGUGAAGGAAGAAGGCUUUCGGGUUGUAAACUUCUUUUGUCAGGGACGAAGCAAGUGACGGUACCUGACGAAUAAGCCACGGCUAACUACGUGCCAGCAGCCGCGGUAAUACGUAGGUGGCAAGCGUUAUCCGGAUUUAUUGGGUGUAAAGGGCGUGUAGGCGGGAAUGCAAGUCAGAUGUCAAAACUAUGGGCUCAACCCAUAGCCUGCAUUUGAAACUGUAUUUCUUGAGUGCUGGAGAGGCAAUCGGAAUUCCGUGUGUAGCGGUGAAAUGCGGAGAUAUACGGAGGAACACCAGUGGCGAAGGCGGAUUGCUGGACAGUAACUGACGCUAAGGCGCGAAAGCGUGGGGAGCAAACAGGAUUAGAUACCCUAGUAGUC
This 443-nucleotide ribosomal RNA is filed under the name uncultured bacterium. RNAcentral's name for it is "partial 16S ribosomal RNA". It matches the Rfam family "Bacterial small subunit ribosomal RNA", at positions 338 to 795 of the family's 1533-position model. The record is from RNAcentral.